This 492-nucleotide ribosomal RNA is filed under the name uncultured bacterium. Its description in RNAcentral is "partial 16S ribosomal RNA". It matches the Rfam family "Bacterial small subunit ribosomal RNA", at positions 29 to 507 of the family's 1533-position model. The record is from RNAcentral.
AGUGAACGCUGGCGGUAGGCCUAACACAUGCAAGUCGAACGGCAGCACAGUAAGAGCUUGCUCUUACGGGUGGCGAGUGGCGGACGGGUGAGGAAUACAUCGGAAUCUACUUUUUCGUGGGGGAUAACGUAGGGAAACUUACGCUAAUACCGCAUACGACCUACGGGUGAAAGCAGGGGAUCUUCGGACCUUGCGCGAUUGAAUGAGCCGAUGUCGGAUUAGCUAGUUGGCGGGGUAAAGGCCCACCAAGGCGACGAUCCGUAGCUGGUCUGAGAGGAUGAUCAGCCACACUGGAACUGAGACACGGUCCAGACUCCUACGGGAGGCAGCAGUGGGGAAUAUUGGACAAUGGGCGCAAGCCUGAUCCAGCCAUACCGCGUGGGUGAAGAAGGCCUUCGGGUUGUAAAGCCCUUUUGUUAGGAAAGAACAGCAGCAGGUUAAUACCCCGCUGUUCUGACGGUACCCAAAGAAUAAGCACCGGCUAACUUCGUG